GCACAAAGUGCUGAAAUACAUAUAUCUAAAAGGGACAACUUGCAGGAGAUUGGACAAAACUGUGCAUGUACUAUUAAAGUAUAUCAGAGACAAGCAAUUCGGUAGGAUUAUAAAGCUGGAAAAAGGAAAAAUAACACACAAAAUCAGCAAAAUUAACAAAAGUCAUAUUGCAGCAGUAAAAGCAGAUAAUAUACAUAUAAUAAGUGUUGAAGAUGGUUGGAAAAUUCAAUCUGGAAAUAAUUUCUAUCUUGUGAAAUUGAAUGAAUUAGGUGAUCAUCAGUGCAAUUUAAAAUGUUCUUCAUGUAUGUCAUGUGUUCAUUCUUACACCUGUAACUGUAUGGAUUACGUAAUACACAACAUGUGCAAACAUAUACAUAAAUUGUGCAUGAGCUAAACUUGUAAUAAUAGCCCAAUGAAGAUAACUCAUCAUGAUAAUACAACAAACAAUAAUGAUGAACUGCAAAGCCACCUUCUUAGUUUAAAACAAUGUAAUAGUUCUGAAACCAUCAAGAAAAUAAGGGAAGAUAUCAGUUUUAUGUCUACUUUUGACUGGCCAUCAGUUGAUGAUGCUGCGUUAAGAAAAAUUAGUGGCCUCCUAACAUCAGUUAAGCAUAAUAUGAUAAAUAGUCAAGAAUCAUCAGCUCUAAUAACAGAAUCUAGUAAACACAAAGUUUGUCCUGCUAACAAGAAAAUCACUACACAACCUCGGUUCUUUUCUACAAAACUAAAGAAAAAGCCGAUGGCUCCCAAACUGGCAAAGCCUUCACAAGAAGAAAUUACAGAAAUAUGCUCAAGAUUCAAAGAGUUGCAAGAGAAUAAAUGAUUUACUACACACACACACUUUAUGUAACUUUUUGAUUAAAUUAAAUCUGACAAAAUUG
Long non-coding RNA from Anthonomus grandis grandis, 881 nucleotides. RefSeq lists it as uncharacterized. The transcript has 3 exons. The record is from RefSeq and is a predicted model, not a curated record. NCBI's taxonomy places the organism in Eukaryota, Metazoa, Arthropoda, Insecta, Coleoptera, Curculionidae.